RNAcentral lists this unclassified non-coding RNA (630 nucleotides) under Hevea brasiliensis (rubber tree). Lineage: Eukaryota; Viridiplantae; Streptophyta; Magnoliopsida; Malpighiales; Euphorbiaceae. The record is from RNAcentral.
GUCUCCUUUUCUUUUUUGUAGUCUCAUACUUCUGGUAGUAACAUAAUUGAAAAUUGAAUCAACCAGAAGGAUGAAGCAAACAAAUCUUGAAGCAGAAAAUAGCAGCACAAAAACAAAACCAUCGAUUCCCCCACCUCCGCCACUGCCACUUCCAAGAUUCUGGGUUCGAAAAACUGCUACUGUAAGUGUGACUAAACAAGAGAUUGCUAAGUUUUGGAGGCAGAAGCACCUUGAGGAAGAGGAUCACCUCCUUGCUGCUAUCAAGGCAGCAGCACGUGUCAGAGCUCGCAAUCUCACGGAAGAGGACUACAAGCAAUUUGAAGAGUCCUUGAAGGAUGAAAAUGGCACCAAGGAUGCUAAGGAGGGUAACACUAAUGGCAUCCUCAUAACUACGAAAGAUGAAAACAAGAAGGAAGUGCGUGUUGGUAUAAAGGAUUGGUGGACCAAGAGCAAGUAUGCAUACUUGAACCAACCAGCCCUUGAGUCAAUGGAUCCGGCAAAAAGAAGAAGUUCCAACUAUGUUCCAAAUUGUUUCUCAUUUAAGCCAACUCCUCUCUAUCCGACCUCUCUUGGGGUCUUUUAGCCUCAUUUCAGUUGCUUCUAUACAUUAUGCUAUGAAGUUAAUGGGUU